AUAAUUUUGUUUGUCUGCGCUUGGCAUGUUGGCAGCAGUGGUUUAUCUUGUUUUUCGUUAUGGAUCUGUCUGACUUGCAACUACAUCGCGCUGCUGUCAUCGCGGCUAUAUCGACGCCUUACGGUCAUCACCAUCUUUACGGUAGUGUUUUAUUUCUUUUCGUUACGUAAACGUGCUUUGUCGACCAAGGAUGCGUGACUACUCGCAACUAUAGCAAGUUUGGUAUCACGGUCAUCACAUGCAACACCUGCAAUUAUAUAAACUGGAGCAGCCGCCAACAAAGCGAACGCCAAUGCGGCCACAAAAGCAAUCCCGAAGAGAGCAACCACCAAUGGAGCAACACCAUAGCAACAAGCAGAGAAGCAACGCCACAAGAAGCGACCACCAAAUGCAGGGGGACACCACGCACUUUCUUCUCUCCUCUGGGAAAGUCCAAGCAACGGAAACGUUCACCAGAAGUGACUUGGUGGAGACUUCAAGCGAUCGACAGAGCACACUUGACAUUUUGAUA
Molecule: long non-coding RNA, 511 nt
Organism: Dermacentor albipictus
Lineage: Eukaryota; Metazoa; Arthropoda; Arachnida; Ixodida; Ixodidae
Source: RefSeq, a predicted model, not a curated record